AUACAAUGAAGAGUUUGAUCCUGGCUCAGGAUGAACGCUAGCGGCAGGCCUAACACAUGCAAGUCGAGGGGCAGCGGGGAAAAGCUUGCUUUUCCGCCGGCGACCGGCGCACGGGUGCGGAACGCGUAUGGAACCUGCCCCUGUCAGGGGAAUAGCCCAGGGAAACUUGGAUUAAUGCCCCAUGGUAUCGUUAUAUCGCAUGAUAUGACGAUUAAAGAUUUAUCGGACAGGGAUGGCCAUGCGUACCAUUAGUUAGAUGGUGAGGUAACGGCUCACCAUGGCAGCGAUGGUUAGGGGCCCUGAGAGGGGGAUCCCCCACACUGGUACUGAGACACGGACCAGACUCCUACGGGAGGCAGCAGUGAGGAAUAUUGGACAAUGGUCGGGAGACUGAUCCAGCCAUGCCGCGUGCAGGAUGACUGCCCUAUGGGUUGUAAACUGCUUUUAUACGGGAAGAA
RNAcentral lists this ribosomal RNA (458 nucleotides) under Flagellimonas zhangzhouensis. RNAcentral describes it as "bacterial SSU rRNA". It matches the Rfam family "Bacterial small subunit ribosomal RNA", at positions 1 to 449 of the family's 1533-position model. The record is from RNAcentral. Lineage: Bacteria; Pseudomonadati; Bacteroidota; Flavobacteriia; Flavobacteriales; Flavobacteriaceae.